Amphiprion ocellaris (clown anemonefish) is the source of this 1419-nucleotide long non-coding RNA. Lineage: Eukaryota; Metazoa; Chordata; Actinopteri; Pomacentridae. The record is from Ensembl.
GCCAAAUAGGAGUAUUUUAUAAUCAUCUCAUUGUUUAAAGUAAAAUUGGCCUGCACUCAGUGAAGGAAUCAUGUUUGAACAUAUGUGUUGAGGUGUGACAUGCUGCUAUGUCUGUGUCUCAGCCUUCUAACAUUGUGCCAAAAUCAUUCCACAGUAUUUACAGUUUACAGUUGGAGACAGUGUGAGUGUUUCCCCUGAUGGAUGCCCUGUCUCCGAGAUACUGAAAUAAAGGGGAAACAUUCAAUUUGAGGGUUAUAUCUUUUUUUUCUGCUUAUGUAUGUUUUUAUUUCUUUGUUAAACAAAAGAUGUCUUAUUUUGGAAUCUAUGUUGGAUAGAUUUUAUUUAAGGAAAAUCUUGUAAUUUUGUAAAGUGGGCCUUAUUAUUGAAAUAUAUUGUUUGUCUAUCUUGAUUUUAAGAAUGAUUUUUUUUUUCUUUUGCAAGGUAAUGUAUCUUCAUCAUUGGUAUUACACUCCUGGAGAGUUUUUCUUCUUCUACUUCAUGUAUUAUGUGUUCUUGUUAGUUUAAUGCGAGACAUUUCUCACAACCUGGAGACGUGAUGACGCACCAUGGGACAGAUAGGAAGCCCGUUUCAAAACACAAAGAGAGAGGCCGGCGUUGUGUCAUAGUCAUUGAAGAAUGAGAGUUAUGUGGAUUUUAUCAGAGCAGAGCAGGUCAGCGGCGCUGAGCGGUUCACCAUGUGUCGUCUCGAUUUUAAUGGCGACCAUUCAGUGCUCUGGCCUCUUUUUGCUGCUGCUCUGUUCUCCCUCGCUCAUAAAUUCAGGGUUUGUACAUCUUCUGUGCUGUAUGUUUGUAAGAGCUGCCAAAGAAAGAAGCGUGCAGGCCUCAGACACUCAUUUAUAUAUAUACAUAUAUAAGACGCACACGAGUAAUCAUAACGGGAAUAAUUAAUUAAAACUUUUUAGAAAAAGAAGACAUUUUUAACUGGAUCUCAUCUCUCUUACACUCAUACAUCCACAUUUCUGGCCUGUACAAUCAAUUUAUUUUUUUUAUGGCUAAGUAAAAUUUGCGUGCAAACGAAGGAGACUGACAGACAGAGGUGUCAAACACAACAAUGUAUGUAACAAAAUCAGCUCAAAAGUGUUUUAUGAUUUAUUCUCGCUUCUCAGUGUGUGUCAGCAAUGCUAGGUGGACUGUGUGGGGAGGCUGUUUUUUCUUUUAUUUUCUGUUUUAGACUUAAUACAUUGUGCAUGUUUUAACCUUACUGUGGCUGGCGCACUCUGCAUGUAGGUCUCUCGAAGCUGCCAACUGUAAAGCAGACCAUAUGUAUUCCAAUAAAAAUAAAAACCAACCUGUUUGUAACACGUCUCCGUGUCCAAACCUGUGUUUGUGCGAGUGCAGAGCUGCUCCCUGUGUAAAAUACAACUGUGUAUGUUCGUCUCUUUUUAUGCUUUUUUGCUG